CCAGUUGUCAUUUAGACUGCUGCUUGUGCUGUGAAAAAUUUCUCAAGUUCACUGUGUCCUUAUAUGACUGUCUCAAUGUCUAAAGCAGGAUAUGGAGAUGGCAGAACCUGAGUCACGUGCUGGUGUCUUCUUUAUACCCAGCGUUUGCCCACACUUCGCAUCCCAGCCAAGUGACUGCUGCUGUUCUUCACUCUCCAAGACAAGAUCUGGGCAGGAUGAGGAAUCAGAGGAAAAUUCAUGUGGGAUUGAAUCAUCAAGCCCUGUCUUCUUCAGAAGGCAUGUGUUAAACAAUGAACUACACUUGGAUACAUGGAAGGAAGAGAAAGAGAGGACAUUUCAAGUGUUGAAACAAAGACAAAGGUACACAGGCAUGUGGGCAUUGUUGUAGAUACCAGCAUAGAAUCAGAUAAAGGGUAAAAGCCAUAUUUACAAAACCCAAAAGAAUAGCUUAGUUUAUUUCUUGGUUUAUUUGGAAUGUUCUAGAAUGAUGCUAGGCCAUUCUUUCAUUGCUAUAAAUAAAUAUCUAAGGCUCAUAGUUCUGCAGCCUGCAUAAACAUGGUGCCAGCAUCUGCUCGACUGCUGGGGAGGCCUCAGGGAGUUUUUACUUAAGGUGGAAGGCAAAAUGAAAGCGAGCACAUCACACGACAAGAGCAGGAGCAGUAGAGAGGAGGACGUGCCACACUGUUAAACAACUGGAUCUUGUGUGAACUCAUAGUGAGAACACAUUCAUUGCCAUAGAUGUUGUGCUAUGUCAUCCAUGAGAGAUCUAUUCCCAUGAUCCAGUCACCUCCCACCAGGACCCCUCUCCAACACUGGGGAUUACAUUUCAACGUAAAAUGUGGGUGUGACAAAAAUACAAACCUUAUCAAAUGAGUUGAUAUGGGUUAUAGAUACAUAGUUAGGCUUUAAAAAGAAGGCACUUUGCCUCUUUUGUCUUUUUAAACAUCAUCUUCAUACAAAUAGGUCACAAAUUUUCAUUGGCUUCAUAAGCCUUUGUAUUAGUAUAUCAAUUGGGCUAUCAUUACAAAGAAAGUAAGCUAUUGAACAUGCAGGCUACAUAUGUAUAGAGGAAGGUCUUAAGUCAGCAUGUUUAAUGCAUAUGGUGGAGAGGCAUACCAUUCUCUUUGAUGCCUGUUGGAUGGAUGGUUUUGGAGGAAGUGCCAGCCAGGUCACAUUGGUUGUGAUUUAAGAGGCCCUUCUGGAAAGGGCAUGCCAUACUGUCUCCGUCUUAAUCGCUUAACUCUGCUGCUUUACCAAGAAAUUAGCCACAGGCAAUAGAUAAACACUGAAUGUGAUCAUGUAAUACAGUUACUUAAAAAAGCAGGUGAUGGCUGGAUUUGUCCCUUGGCCAUUGUUUGCCAUUCCCUACUUUAGGCCAAACUCACAGUUGGACACAGCUUGUCUCUGGUGUCUUCUCUCUUCCUCCUCUUAGUUGGCCUCGUGGCCUGUGCUGGCAUCUCACUCCCCAACACCAAUGAUGCUCCCAGGUAACUGACUUGGUUGGCAAGUCACCGACAUGGUGGUCUGUGAAUCUCAAGAGAUUUAUCUUCUAAGGACAUGUUUGCAUUUAGCUUUAAAAAUUUUUAUUUUAUUUUUUUUUUAGAAAUGGGGUCUUGCUGUGUUAACCAGGCUGGAGUGCAGUGGCAUGAUCAUAGCUCACUGCAGUCUCCAACUCCUGGGCUCAAGUAAUCCUUCCAGCUCUGCUUCUCAAGUAGCUGGGACUGCAGCUGUGUGUCACCACACCUGGCUAAUUAAAAAAAAUUCUUUUUUGUAGAGAUGCUAUCUAAGUAUGUUGCCCAGGCUGGUCUCAAACUUGAGGUAUCAAGCAAUUUCUCUGCCUUGGUUUCCCAAAGCAUUGGGAUUAUAGGCAUGAGCCCUACUGUAUCAGGCCUAAUCUGAAGUUAAAAUAAAAAGGCUGGUCUUUAAAAAAUACAGCUAAUUUUAUUUCAUCCAGCCAUAAAGAUGAUGCAUAGUGAUUGUCAAACACUUAGAAAGGCGAGAAGAAAAAAUGUUACAAAUUUUAUUAUAGUCAACAUUUUGGAGCACUAAUGAAUUAAUUUCCUGUUGGAGUAUUUCAGGCUCUCAGGCAUGCAGUUGGCAUCAAUACCUUACACACUAGGCUUGUCUUAAGCUUGACAUAAGAGCAGCUGCUGCCCAUUUUUCUAAUUUGUGAGGGCAGCUCUAUUUCCAUAGCCUCUUUUAUUCUGUCUAGCCCUUAUUUUCAUAUCUCUCCAGUGAGACAAAUUUUUUGACAGAAGUAUUUAAUUAUAAAGAAAGCAGAACUGAGAUAAAAUAAUGUAUGACUUGAGGCAAGUCACAUGUCUGUGGGUCUGUUUCCUCUCCUGGUAAAUGAAGGGGUGCAAAUAGAUGAUGAUGCCCACAUUCUAGUAUUUUGUGAGGCCAGGAGUUCAAAACCAGCUUGGUCAACAUAGUGAGACCCCUUUUCUACAAAAAAAACAAAAAAAUUAGCUGGGUAUGGUGGUGUGCCUCUGUAGUUAAGAGGCUGAGGUGAGAGGAUUGCUUGAACCCAUGAGAUGGAGGCUGCAGUGAGUUAUGAUCAUACCACUGCCCUCUAGCCUGGAACUGCACUCUAGCCUGGACAACAGACUGAGAUCCAGUCUCCUUAAAGAAAACAAAAAAGCAAGAUGAGAGACAAAAUUAAAUGAAACUAGUAUGGAAUUAAAAGCAAAGCCAAUUAAAAGUAUAUUCUGGGCCCAAUAAUAUAACAAUAUUUUGGGAUAUGCUUGUAAGAGGAAGCCAGAGUCAGAGGCAUUUUGGGAAAAAUGAGAAAUUAAGUGAUAAUUUAUUUGGAAUGAAUCAGGUAUUGCAAUAGAAGAACAGGGGAAAUAAGAAUAAUGAAUUUGGCUGGGCGUGGUGGCUCACACCUGUAAUCCCAGUACUCUGGGAGGUUGAGGCUGGCAGAUCACAAGGUCAAGAGAGGGAGACCAUCCUGGCCAACAUGGUGAAACCCUGCCUCUAGUAAAAAAUACAAAAAUUAGCUGGAUGUGGUGGUAAGCGCCUGUAGUCCCAGUUACUCGGGAGGCUGAGGCAGGAGAAUUGCUUGAAUCCAGGAGGCAGAGAUUGCAGUGAGCCGAGGCUGCGCCACCGCACUACAGCCUGGCGCCUGGCGACAGAGCAAGACUUCGUCUUAAAACAAACCAGAAAAAACAAUAAUGAAUUCAUUUAUACUAACAGAUAUAUAUUAACAUAUAAUUACCAUUUAGUCUAACAAGUGCUUUAUUGGAAUAGAGAGGUCACACAUCCUGGAUCAUUACUAGGUCCAAAUUAUCUUAUAAAGUGGCAAAUUUGGAGUGGAGUUGGUAUUGAAGACAACAUUCUAUAAAUUUAUUCAUUUCUUGCGUUGGUGGUGAAUUUGUAUCCAUAUGGUACUGUAGCAACCUCAAUUCUUGCCUCCUUAGAAGAAAGAAUUCAACUGAGGGGCAUAAAGCAGAAAGAGAGAGAUUGUUUUAGAGCAGGAGUAAAAGUUUAUUAAAAAGCUUUAGAGCAGGAAUGAAAGGAAGGAAAAUAUACUUGGUAGAGGGCCAAGAGAGUGACCUCAAAGGCAAGUGCCUGGUUUGACCUUUGGACUUGGGGUUUUACACAUGGGCAUAGUUCUGAGGUCUUGUGUUACUUUACCCCACUCACCCAGCUCCUGAGAUCUUAUCAGGAAGCUGCUGAUUACCAGCUUCAGGUGUUUUCUAUCUAUUAAGAGACUGCCGUUCCCUGUUGUUGGCUGUGACCAAUUAUUACUUUAGAAAGACAGUUAACAACUGCCUGACCAUGACCCGAUGGUUGCCUGACACCACUGGGGUGUGUGUGUGUGUGUGUGUGUGUGUGUGUGUGUGUGUGAACCCUCUCCUGGGGUGUGUGUGUAUGUGUGCGUAUAUGUGAACCCUCUCCUGGGUUGUAAGUGUGUGUGUGUGUGUGUGAACCCUCUCCUGGGGUGUGUGUGUAUGUGUGCGUAUAUGUGAACCCUCUCCUGGGUUGUAAGUGUGUGUGUGUGUGUGUGUAUGUGUGUGUAUGUAUGUGAACCCUCUCCUGCCCUGCUCAUACCUGACUAGCUACCUACUGUAACAAUCACACCUCAACUUUACAAAACAUGAUGAAAUCAUAUUUCCAUGAUUAAAUUUAUUUACUAGUUUAACGACAUGCCAGAUUUUCACUUUAGGACCAAAUCUAACUUUAUAUUUUGGACAGAGGCUAUGGGGAAAGAGAGAAUAAAGCCCUUAAAAAUUAAAUCUCAUAAUUGCUGGAACAAUCUUAACCAAGCCCAGCCAAUAGCUUGUUAUACUCUAAAUAUAACUUGUCAUCUUAUGACAAAAUCCAAUUUUGAGAAUAAGUGAAAAUUCGUUUCAAUUUUUGGUCGCUUAGUGUACUUGAAAACCAGAAACUUAGGGUUGGACCUUUUCAUAUUUAUUUUGUGUCAGGUGAUAGGGAAUGAUCUCCCCUAUGUCCCUAGAAGAAGGUGAGAUUGAUGAAUUGUUUACAUAGGCAAUCAGAAUUCAGUUACUCUAUUAAGCAAUUCAUUGUUUUAACUUAUUUUAGCUUAACAUGGUUUCCACCCCUUAGUCAUUUCUGAAUGACACCCGCAAGGAAAUUUAA
Callithrix jacchus (white-tufted-ear marmoset) is the source of this 4602-nucleotide long non-coding RNA. The record is from Ensembl. NCBI's taxonomy places the organism in Eukaryota, Metazoa, Chordata, Mammalia, Primates, Cebidae.